CCACUCCCUCUAACAUGUAAACUCACUGAGCAGGCCCUCAAUCCCUCUGUUACUGUGUCACUAUACCCCACUCCCUCUAACAUGUAAACUCACUGAGCAGGCCCUCAAUCCCUCUGUUACUGUGUCACUAUACCCCACUCCCUCUAACAUGUAAACUCACUGAGCAGGGCCCUCAAUCCCUCUGUUACUGUCACUAUACCCCACUCCCUCUAACAUGUAAACUCACUGAGCGGGCCCUCAAUCCCUCUGUUACUGUGUCACUAUACCCCACUCCCUCUAACAUGUAAACUCACU
Pelobates cultripes (western spadefoot toad) is the source of this 294-nucleotide non-coding RNA. Lineage: Eukaryota; Metazoa; Chordata; Amphibia; Anura; Pelobatidae. The record is from the annotation of a GenBank genome assembly.